RNAcentral lists this long non-coding RNA (807 nucleotides) under Gossypium raimondii (Peruvian cotton). RNAcentral describes it as "long non-coding RNA (GRAI_LNC005097)". The record is from RNAcentral. Lineage: Eukaryota; Viridiplantae; Streptophyta; Magnoliopsida; Malvales; Malvaceae.
AAAAACCUAAAAGCCUUGUUUCUUUCUCUCAACCCCCUAGAUCUGGCCAUCGGUGCUGCCGUGGGCCACUGUGGCCACCGGUCACCAGCGAUGGAGGCUGUUGCCUCCGGUGGCCGAAAAAUGCCUUUUAACCUUUUUUUUUUAAAAAAACCUCUUUCAUAAAAAAACUCGAAUCUAGCCCAAUAGUUUUUGAAAAUCAAAGAAAGGGGAAAAUAGCGCGAAGAAACGGCGGCGAUGGUUUCCGACGGUGGCAGAAGAUGAACCGACAGGUGAGUUUUCCCUUUUUUUUAUACUUUAUGCUUCUUUUUUUAAAUAAUUGAGUUAAAAAAAUAAAAAAAUAAACAAGAAAGUCACCUUUGAACUUUUUCUUUUCAGUUCUUUUUUUUAUUGCUUUUCGUUUGUUUUCUCUUUUUUUUAAAAAAAAAACCCCUUUUACAAUCUAUUUUCAGGCUUUUUUAUAGCCAAAUUACAAUAUUAUUUUUUAUUUUUUUCUACUGUUCUUGCUCUUCUGUAUUUGCAGGCGUCUUUGGAGUCAAUGACAAGAUGGGGGCAGUUGGCGGUGGCAGACCUCGGGCGACGAGAGAGGAACGACGGCUAGGGUUUUUUUGUUGUUGUUGUUUUUUUUUUUUUUUGAAAACUUAGUUUAGGUUGUGGGCCACAGGGCCAUUAGGGGUUUGUUUUUUCAUUUUGGGUUGUUUGUAAUUAGACUUUAUUAUUUGGUCUUGUUUUAUUAUUGGGUCUUGGGCCAGAUGGAAUUGGGCUUUCACAGAAACCAUUUAGAUAAGGGAGGUAUGUUGCUCCCCGGAC